GAUGAACGCUGGCGGCGUGCUUAACACAUGCAAGUCGAACGAAGCAUCUUAGACAGAAGCCUUCGGGCGGAAGACUAUGGUGACUUAGUGGCGGACGGGUGAGUAACGCGUGGGUAACCUGCCCUGUACUGGGGGACAACAGUUGGAAACGACUGCUAAUACCGCAUAAGCGCACAGCAUCGCAUGAUGCAGUGUGAAAAACUCCGGUGGUACAGGAUGGACCCGCGUCUGAUUAGCUAGUUGGUGAGGUAACGGCUUACCAAGGCAACGAUCAGUAGCCGACUUGAGAGAGUGAUCGGCCACAUUGGGACUGAGACACGGCCCAAACUCCUACGGGAGGCAGCAGUGGGGAAUAUUGCACAAUGGGGGAAACCCUGAUGCAGCGACGCCGCGUGAAGGAAGAAGUAUUUCGGUAUGUAAACUUCUAUCAGCAAGGAAGAAAAUGACGGUACUUGACUAAGAAGCCCCGGCUAAAUACGUGC
Molecule: ribosomal RNA, 482 nt
Filed under: uncultured bacterium
Lineage: Bacteria
Description: bacterial SSU rRNA
Rfam family: Bacterial small subunit ribosomal RNA
Source: RNAcentral